GCGCCCAUAGCUCAAUUGGAAGAGCUUCGGUCUUCGGAACCGACGGUUGCAGGUUCGAACCCUGCUGGGCGUACCA
Molecule: transfer RNA, 76 nt
Filed under: Planctomycetota bacterium
Lineage: Bacteria; Pseudomonadati; Planctomycetota
Description: tRNA-Arg
Rfam family: tRNA
About the family: Transfer RNA (tRNA) molecules are approximately 80 nucleotides in length. Their secondary structure includes four short double-helical elements and three loops (D, anti-codon, and T loops).
Source: RNAcentral